UACGUAGGGGGCAAGCGUUAUCCGGAUUUACUGGGUGUAAAGGGAGCGUAGGCGGCUUAGUAAGUCAGAAGUGAAAGCCCGGGGCUCAACUCCGGGACUGCUUUUGAAACUGUGUGACUGGAGUGCAGGAGAGGUAAGCGGAAUUCCUGGUGUAGCGGUGAAAUGCGUAGAUAUCAGGAGGAACACCAGUGGCGAAGGCGACUUUCUGGACAGUAACUGACGUUGAGGCACGAAAGUGUGGGGAGCAAACAGG
RNAcentral lists this ribosomal RNA (253 nucleotides) under uncultured Lachnospiraceae bacterium. RNAcentral's name for it is "partial 16S ribosomal RNA". It matches the Rfam family "Bacterial small subunit ribosomal RNA", at positions 524 to 776 of the family's 1533-position model. The record is from RNAcentral. Lineage: Bacteria; Bacillati; Bacillota; Clostridia; Lachnospirales; Lachnospiraceae.